Long non-coding RNA from Sycon ciliatum, 357 nucleotides. RefSeq lists it as uncharacterized. Lineage: Eukaryota; Metazoa; Porifera; Calcarea; Leucosolenida; Sycettidae. The record is from RefSeq and is a predicted model, not a curated record. The transcript has 3 exons.
UAUUAGAAAUUAGAAAUAAGGAUCGAGUCAGAUCUGAAGGAGCUUUUCGUAAGAGAUUUUUGCGUCAGGUGUCCGUGCAGUUCCAGUAAAUAUCUAUUGGAUCGCGUGAUAGUGUUGUUGCCUCAUAUCUGGUCCGGAACUGAACCAAAUUCUUACUGAACUGGAGUUGUCGCUGAACCAAACGAUUACAGUUUACACGAUCCAAUGUUUUAUUAAUAACCAAAUCCCUCAGUCUCUGCAAGAAGCUAGUCAGCUGGAUGCCAUAGUUUAUCUCUGCACACGGGGUUUCUUCAUCAUUCUCGAGGUUCUUUAAUACUAAAGGAUACCAACAUGGCCACUUUGAGCAGCUCUACAGGU